UGGGGAAUCUUGCGCAAUGGUCUAACGACUGACGCAGCGACGCCGCGUGCGGGAGGAAGGUCUUCGGAUCGUAAACCGCUGUCGGGAGGGAAGAAGCGACCGGGGGGGAAAUACCCUGGUUCUGACGGUACCUCCAAAGGAAGCACCGGCUAACUCCGUGCCAGCAGCCGCGGUAAUACGGAGGGUGCAAGCGUUGUUCGGAAUUAUUGGGCGUAAAGCGCGCGCAGGCGGCCGAAGAAGUCCAUGGGUGAAAGGCCGGGGCUCAACCCCGUGCAUGCCCAGGAUACUGAUCGGCUGGAGACACGUAGAGGCAAGCGGAAUUCCGGGUGUAGCGGUGGAAUGCGUAGAGAUCCGGAAGAACACCGGAGGCGAAGGCGGCUUGCUGGGCGUGAUCUGACGCUGAGGCGCGAAAGCGUGGGGAGCGAACAGGAUUAGAUACCCUGGUAGUCCACGCUGUAAACGAUGGGCACUGGAUGCGGGGGGGAUCGGCCCUCUCCGUGUCGCAG
This 506-nucleotide ribosomal RNA is filed under the name uncultured bacterium. Its description in RNAcentral is "bacterial SSU rRNA". It matches the Rfam family "Bacterial small subunit ribosomal RNA", at positions 355 to 851 of the family's 1533-position model. The record is from RNAcentral.